GUACGGAAGGCAGCAGUGGGGAAUUUUGCGCAAUGGGCGAAAGCCUGACGCAGCAACGCCGCGUGGAGGAUGAAGGUCUUCGGAUUGUAAACUCCUGUCCUCGGGGACGAAAACAAUGACGGUACCCGGGGAGGAAGCCCCGGCUAACUCCGUGCCGGCAGCCGCGGUAAUACGGGGGGGGCGAGCGUUGUUCGGAAUUACUGGGCGUAAAGGGCGCGUAGGCGGCCUGGGAAGUCUUGGGUGAAAGCCCCCGGCUCAACCGGGGAAGGGCCUGAGAAACCACUGGGCUGGAGUGCUGGAGAGGGAAGCGGAAUUCCUGGUGUAGCGGUGAAAUGCGUAGAGAUCAGGAGGAACAUCGGUGGCGAAGGCGGCUUCCUGGACAGACACUGACGCUGAGGCGCGAAAGCCAGGGGAGCAAACAGGAUUAGAUACCCUUGUAGUCC
RNAcentral lists this ribosomal RNA (443 nucleotides) under uncultured bacterium. RNAcentral's name for it is "bacterial SSU rRNA". It matches the Rfam family "Bacterial small subunit ribosomal RNA", at positions 339 to 796 of the family's 1533-position model. The record is from RNAcentral.